CUAAUAGCGUAUAUUAAAGUUGUUGCAGUUAAAAAGCUCGUAGUUGAAUUUCGGAAUCUGUCCGUCUGUCGGGCUUAACUGUCCGUACUGGUGUGAUGGGUUCUUACCUUCUGAAUAACCAGCAUGCCAUUUAUUUGGUGCGUUGGGGAAGCAGGACUAUUACCUUGAAAAAAUUAGAGUGCUCAAAGCAGGCUAGUGCCUGAAUAUAUUAGCAUGGAAUAAUAAAAUAGGACGGCAUGGUUCUAUUUUGUUGGUUUCUAGGAUCACCGUAAUGAUUAAUAGGGAUAGUUGGGGGCAUUAGUAUUCAAUUGUCAGAGGUGAAAUUCUUGGAUUUAUUGAAGACUAACUUCUGCGAAAGCAUUUGCCAAGGAUGUUUUCAUUAAUCAAGAACGAAAGUUAGGGGAUCGAAGACGAUCAGAUACCGUCGUAGUCUUAACCAUAAACUAUGCCGACUAGGGAUCGGACGAUGUUAAUUUUUUAAUGACUCGUUCGGCGCCUUACG
RNAcentral lists this ribosomal RNA (502 nucleotides) under uncultured Glomeromycotina. RNAcentral's name for it is "partial small subunit ribosomal RNA". It matches the Rfam family "Eukaryotic small subunit ribosomal RNA", at positions 591 to 1092 of the family's 1831-position model. The record is from RNAcentral. Lineage: Eukaryota; Fungi; Glomeromycota.